GCCCCCCUCCUGCCCAUGUGCCCCAUGAUAUACCACUUGACACACCACGUUCCCAUGGAUACCAAAAGCAAUUGAGCCUACUGACCACAGACCGAAACCUCCAAAACUAUAAGCCCAAUGAUGCAAGCAGACUGCCCUCACCAGAUGCUGAGCAGUGGCUGGGACGGUGCUCUUGGACAUCCCAGGUGGUAGAAUUGGCAGCCACAUGAACUGCGGGGUGAGUGAUACCCUACCAAAAGAGAUCACAAGAAAAGAAGACUACAGGCA
Molecule: long non-coding RNA, 267 nt
Filed under: Fukomys damarensis (Damara mole-rat)
Lineage: Eukaryota; Metazoa; Chordata; Mammalia; Rodentia; Bathyergidae
Description: lncRNA (ENSFDAG00000024166.1)
Source: RNAcentral